ACGGGAGGCAGCAGUCGGGAAUUUUGCGCAAUGGAGGAAACUCUGACGCAGUGACGCCGCGUGCAGGAAGAAGGUUUUCGGAUUGUAAACUGCUUUAGACAGGGAAGAAACAAGACAGUACCUGUAGAAUAAGCUCCGGCUAACUACGUGCCAGCAGCCGCGGUAAUACGUAGGGAGCAAGCGUUAUCCGGAUUUAUUGGGUGUAAAGGGUGCGUAGACGGGAAAAUAAGUUAGCUGUGAAAUCCCUCGGCUUAACCGAGGAACUGCAACUAAAACUGUUUUUCUUGAGUGCUGGAGAGGAAAGUGGAAUUCCUAGUGUAGCGGUGAAAUGCGUAGAUAUUAGGAGGAACACCAGUGGCGAAGGCGACUUUCUGGACAGUAACUGACGUUGAGGCACGAAAGUGUGGGGAGCAAACAGGAUUAGAUACCCUGGUA
RNAcentral lists this ribosomal RNA (435 nucleotides) under uncultured Oscillospiraceae bacterium. RNAcentral describes it as "partial 16S ribosomal RNA". It matches the Rfam family "Bacterial small subunit ribosomal RNA", at positions 341 to 792 of the family's 1533-position model. The record is from RNAcentral. Lineage: Bacteria; Bacillati; Bacillota; Clostridia; Eubacteriales; Oscillospiraceae.